AAAAGUUAUUACCGUUGAUAAUCGUGCCCAUGAUAGAACUCUCUUCCCUACAAGCUUAACUGAAAGCAUAGAACAAUAUAACGAAACCUAACGGUCAUCGAACCCGCACAGCUAAUCUCUGCUAGCAAUGACAGUGCUGAACAGUGGAAAUAUAACUGCUGAAGGACAGUGGCGAGGACAAAAAGGAGGACUGUCUAGAAGAACUGCAUUGAUAAAGUCAGCCUUCUACAUUGAAGCAGGAAGCAGUUCAACAUCAGAUGACAAAGCCCCUAGACAAGUGCGAUGGAAUAAAUGUGAUGUAAAACAGAUCAUGACAAGUGAAGACGACAAGCAAGAUCCAUUUUCUUAUGGACCCUCAUUGGGUCAACCUGUCUCUUUUUGGACAAGCUUGCAAACAGUGACUUAAACGCUAUCUAGCUUAUUCUUUUAGCCUAAUCUGUACCGUGACCUCAAGAUUCAAUUUAUGGAAGAUCUCAAGCAUUUGGGAUCACAAGUUUUCUGUAAUGACCUGGAUUUUUACUUUGACUGUACCUCCAACUAGAAACUUUAAAAAUACUUUUAAUUGAAUAGUACUACUAACAAUACCAUGUUUUUAGGCAGUCAGGUCUUAUAGCUGUGACUGAAAACAUGAAAUACCUACCAAUUUUUUCAUUUUACUAUGGGUAAUGUACUUGAAGAUGUGAUGCUAGGCGUUAAGAUCACAAGCAUUUGCCUUUUUGUCAGGUAGAAUUGUUUAUAACAAAAAAACUGUUCAUGUUUGCUUUCUUAUGUGUACCAGAGUCAGGUUAAGGCUUGUGUAAACAAAAAAAAACAAAACAGAAAAGGACCAAAGAUUGAAUCCUGCAGUUGAUGACUUCUGUCAUGUUUUACUUUGAAGAGGUAUUUUUUCUCGAGUAAUUCAACCUGUUUAGUUGUAUUAAAGUAUGAUUCAUUAUCAGCUUA
Cheilinus undulatus (humphead wrasse) is the source of this 942-nucleotide long non-coding RNA. RefSeq lists it as uncharacterized. The record is from RefSeq and is a predicted model, not a curated record. Lineage: Eukaryota; Metazoa; Chordata; Actinopteri; Labriformes; Labridae. The transcript has 4 exons.